Molecule: non-coding RNA, 412 nt
Organism: Microcebus murinus (gray mouse lemur)
Lineage: Eukaryota; Metazoa; Chordata; Mammalia; Primates; Cheirogaleidae
Source: RefSeq, a predicted model, not a curated record
AUGUCUCCCACAAAGAAGGGUGGCAAGAAGUAGAGCCAUUCUGCCAUCAACGAGGUGGUGACCCAAGAAUACGCCAUCAACAUUCAUAAGCACAUCCAUGGAGUGAGCUUCAAGAAGCAUGCCCCUUGCGCACUCAAAGAGAUCCAGAAAUUUGCCAUGAAGGAGGUGGGGACUCCAAAUGCACGUAUUGAUACCAGACUCAACAAAGCUGUCUGGACCAUAGGAAUAAAGACUGUCCCAUACUGUAUUCACAUGCGGUUGUCCAAUAAACAUAAUGAGGAUGAAGAUUCACCAAACAAGCUCUAUACUUUGGUUACCUGUGUACCUGUUACCACUUUCAAAAAUCUGCAGACAGUCAAUGUGGAUGAGAGCUAACCACUGACUGUCAGAUACGUCAAAUAAACUUAUAAAA